Molecule: ribosomal RNA, 1799 nt
Filed under: Trimma caesiura (Caesiura dwarfgoby)
Lineage: Eukaryota; Metazoa; Chordata; Actinopteri; Gobiiformes; Gobiidae
Description: 16S rRNA
Rfam family: Bacterial large subunit ribosomal RNA
Source: RNAcentral
ACUUAUGACACCCCGUGGCUAAUACUACCCAGUUAUGCAACUACACACCACAGCAAUUCACGCAACUGAAAAAACGUCUGUUCAAGCCGGACCAGCUGGAUCCUAAUAAGCUAGCCACUCCUCCCACCCACAAGAUAACACCUUUUUUUAACAAACCAUUUUUCCACCUAAGUAUGUGAGACAGAAAAGGACAUAAGCGCCAUAGAAAGAGUACCGCAAGGGAAAGCUGAAAGAGUAAUGAAACAAUUUAGUCAAGGAAUAAAAAGCAGAGACCACCCUCGUACCUUUUGCAUCAUGAUUUAGCUAGCACAUUCAAGCAAAGAGCCCUUUAUGUUUGAAACCCCGAAACUGGGCGAGCUACUCCAAGUCAGCCUAUUACUGGGCCAACCCGUCUCUGUUGCAAAAGAGUGGGAAGAACUUCGAGUAGAAGUGACAGACCAAUCGAGCCCAGUCAUAGCUGGUUGUCUGAGAAAUGAAUAGAAGUUCAGCCUUUUAAGUUCUUUCACCAUACCAGUCCUUUACUGAUUAAGCCUAAAAGAAAUUAAAGGAGCUAUUCAAGAAAGGAACAGCUCUCUUGAAAAAAGAAACAACUUUUACAGAAGAUAAAAGAUCACAACCUUAAAGGCAUCCCCCAAAGUAGGCUUAAAAGCAGCCACCUUGACAGAUAGCGUCAAAGCUUAGGUUUUCCCCUUACCAAAAAAUUUUGAUCCAAACAUCUUAAAUCCCUCCUCCUACCAGACCCCCCUAUGCACCCAUAGGAGAGACACUGCUAAUAUGAGUAAUAAGAGGGUUAGGCCCUCUCCUUGCACCCGUGUACCUCAGAUCGGACUCCGACUGAAGAUUAACGCCCUCAAAAGAGAGCCGUAGGACAUCCCCAAAAAACAAGAUGAACCCGUACAAAGUAAACGUUAACCCCACACAGGAAUGCCCUAGGAAAGACAAAAAGAAAAAGAAGGAACUCGGCAAACAUUAGGUCUCGCCUGUUUACCAAAAACAUCGCCUCUUGAGUAUUAAACCGGUACCUGCCCCCCCCCCUUUUUAACUCACACAUAAGAGGUCUCGCCUGCCCAGUGACACAAGUCUUAAACGGCCGCGGUAUUUUGACCGUGCAAAGGUAGCGUAAUCACUUGUCUUUUAAAUGAAGACCCGUAUGAAAGGCACCACGAGGACCAAGCUGUCUCCUAUUUCUAGUCAAUGAAAUUGAUCUGCCCGUGCAGAAGCGGACAUAACACCAUAAGACGAGAAGACCCUAUGGAGCUUUAGACGGGAAGAGCCCACGAUACCAAUCAACCCCCAAAACAAUUGGAUCUAAGAUACGUGACCCCCCUCUUCCACUGUCUUUGGUUGGGGCGACCACGGGGAAACAAAUAACCCCCACGAGCGAAUGGGCCCACCCUCUAUCCGCCGACCCCUUAUAUAAGAGCUACAACCCAAGUAAACAAAAUAUUUGACCUCCUAGAUCCGGCCCGCCGAUCAACGGACCCAGUUACCCUAGGGAUAACAGCGCAAUCCCCUUUCAGAGCCCCUAUCGACAAGGGGGUUUACGACCUCGAUGUUGGAUCAGGACAUCCUAAUGGUGCAGCCGCUAUUAAGGGUUCGUUUGUUCAACGAUUAAAGUCCUACGUGAUCUGAGUUCAGACCGGAGUAAUCCAGGUCAGUUUCUAUCUAUGAAAUACUUUUUUGCAGUACGAAAGGACCCAAAAGAGGGGGCCACUACUUAAAGUACACCCUCCCCUAAACUGAUGAAAACAAAUGAUAUAAAUGAAAGGGUAUUUUCCCUGUGUAGAAGAAACCUACAA